This 273-nucleotide ribosomal RNA is filed under the name uncultured bacterium. RNAcentral describes it as "partial 16S ribosomal RNA". It matches the Rfam family "Bacterial small subunit ribosomal RNA", at positions 524 to 796 of the family's 1533-position model. The record is from RNAcentral.
UACGGAGGGGGCAAGCGUUGUUCGGAAUUACUGGGCGUAAAGCGCGCGUAGGCGGCGAUGCAAGUCAGAGGUGAAAUGCCCGGGCUCAACCUGGGAGGUGCCUUUGAUACUGUGUUGCUUGGAUCCAGGAGAGGUGAGCGGAAUUCCGAGUGUAGAGGUGAAAUGCGUAGAGAUCUGAAGGAAUACCAGUGGCGAAGGCGGCCUCCUGGCCUAAUAUUGACGCUGAGGUGCGAAAGCGUGGGGAGCAAACAGGAUUAGAUACCCCGGUAGUCC